CAAAUCCCCACUCCCUAAAUAUUACAAAAAAAUUGACCCUAGUGGCCAUGUUGUCAUUUGGUGCUUUUGAAAAAAAAAAAGAUUCCCACUCCAUUAAAGCUAUCCCUUCAUCCGAUGAUUAGUCAACUUGAACCUCCAAGGGUGUUGUCAAGCACAACACUACACUGUGUUGGGAUAUGCUCUCCAGCUUGCUCCUCUAUUAUCUCCAUGUUAUGUCCUGCAUCUGCCACAUGAACUGGAUCUGAGCUGCCAACUUGAGGAUUUUCAACAACAGAACAUGAAGUGCUUGCACCUCCAUUCUCAUCAAUCAGUGCAUCUAUGUAUUUUCUUUUAAUGCAGGUAUCAUCAACAGAUAUGGGAAUUUCAGGUGAAGGAAAUACCUGUUUUCCAGUAUUCUGAGGGACAUGAACACUAGCAGUAAUUGGUUCCCUUAUCACAACACCAGGAAGAGAAGUUUCAUUUUGGGUUUCCUUGGGAUGUUGGUUGCUCUGUUCCAUCAACAACUUCAAAAUCCAGGACUUCAUCAACUGGAGUUGCAGUUGCUACAGUGACCUGUUGUGUAUCAGCCUCCAUAUAUUGAUCCAGUGCUGCAUCAAACUGUGCAUCAAUCUCUACUUCAUUUAUGUCUUCUUCAACUGGGUUCUUGCAGCCUUUCCUAUUGUGUCUAUACUGGUUGCACCUGCUACACCUCACAAAAGCACCUCCUCUCUUCAAUUUGUUUGGAUUAGGGUCAUCAUAUGGGUCCCUCCUUCUCAAUUUUUUGGGCCUCCCUGCACCUCUUUUAAACAGUGGUGGCAGAAUGCACUCAGGGUCAUUUGGUGUCACAACCCAUUGGUUAGGGCCAGAUGAAGAUGAAGAAUUUGAUGAAGGGAGAAAGGAAAGAAAGAAGAUAUUACAGAGGAAGAAGACAAAAAAAACUUGCAAAAUGCUCAAGGGGUAUAUUUGUAAUCCCAUAUCAAAAAUUUUGGGGGACACCGUGUCCCCAUUUUUAUGGGUGAUACCAUAGCCUUCACCAAAGUUUUGAUAUAUCGUAUUAAACAUGAUAAUAUAUGCUUAUACAAUACAAUAGAUUAUGAGUAUAUCAAUUUUUUAAUGUUAACAUUGUAGUGUAUAGGGUUAUCCACGUCAUUGCCGCCACAUAACCACCAUCACUACUACCCUUCGCCACCAUUGUUGCCACCAUCAUCCUUCACCACCAGCAUUGUCGCCAUUAUCACCCUACAAUACUCCAAUACAUUUUUUUAGCAAUGUUGGGUAAUUGUUAAAUUGUCUAAUUGUUUUUACCGGUUUGUAAUUGGGUUGGAGCACCCCUUGUGCUCCCCAUUAAUUCAUUCUGGCUUUUCAAAAAAAAAAAAACCACUAUCGCCACCACCCACCACCACUAUUGCCACUGCUGCCACAACUAUCACCUCC
Molecule: long non-coding RNA, 1413 nt
Organism: Lotus japonicus
Lineage: Eukaryota; Viridiplantae; Streptophyta; Magnoliopsida; Fabales; Fabaceae
Exons: 4
Source: RefSeq, a predicted model, not a curated record